Molecule: ribosomal RNA, 253 nt
Filed under: uncultured bacterium
Lineage: Bacteria
Description: partial 16S ribosomal RNA
Rfam family: Bacterial small subunit ribosomal RNA
Source: RNAcentral
UACGAAGGGGGCUAGCGUUGCUCGGAUUGACUGGGCGUAAAGGGCGCGUAGGCGGUUCGUACAGUCAGACGUGAAAUUCCUGGGCUCAACCUGGGGGCUGCGCUUGAGACUGGUUGGCUAGAGGCCGAGAGAGGGUGGUGGAAUUCCCAGUGUAGAGGUGAAAUUCGUAGAUAUUGGGAAGAACACCGGUGGCGAAGGCGGCCACCUGGCUCGGUACUGACGCUGAGGCGCGACAGCGUGGGGAGCAAACAGG